UACGUAGGGUGCGAGCGUUAAUCGGAAUUACUGGGCGUAAAGCGUGCGCAGGCGGUUUUGUAAGCCAGAUGUGAAAUCCCCGGGCUUAACCUGGGAAUGGCAUUUGGGACUGCAAGGCUGGAGUUUGGCAGAGGAGACUGGAAUUCCUGGUGUAGCAGUGAAAUGCGUAGAUAUCAGGAGGAAUACCGAUGGCGAAGGCAGGUCUCUGGGCUAUAACUGACGCUCAUGCACGAAAGGCGUGGGGAGCAAACAGGAUUACGAA
This 262-nucleotide ribosomal RNA is filed under the name uncultured bacterium. Its description in RNAcentral is "partial 16S ribosomal RNA". It matches the Rfam family "Bacterial small subunit ribosomal RNA", at positions 524 to 784 of the family's 1533-position model. The record is from RNAcentral.